This 1107-nucleotide ribosomal RNA is filed under the name Bacillus sp. (in: firmicutes). Its description in RNAcentral is "bacterial SSU rRNA". It matches the Rfam family "Bacterial small subunit ribosomal RNA", at positions 8 to 1095 of the family's 1533-position model. The record is from RNAcentral. Lineage: Bacteria; Bacillati; Bacillota; Bacilli; Caryophanales; Bacillaceae.
AGAGUUUGAUCCUGGCUCAGGACGAACGCUGGCGGCGUGCCUAAUACAUGCAACUCGAGCGGACCGACGGGAGCUUGCUCCCUUAGGUCAGCGGCGGACGGGUGAGUAACACGUGGGUAACCUGCCUGUAAGACUGGGAUAACUCCGGGAAACCGGGGCUAAUACCGGAUGCUUGAUUGAACCGCAUGGUUCAAUCAUAAAAGGUGGCUUUUAGCUACCACUUACAGAUGGACCCGCGGCGCAUUAGCUAGUUGGUGAGGUAACGGCUCACCAAGGCGACGAUGCGUAGCCGACCUGAGAGGGUGAUCGGCCACACUGGGACUGAGACACGGCCCAGACUCCUACGGGAGGCAGCAGUAGGGAAUCUUCCGCAAUGGACGAAAGUCUGACGGAGCAACGCCGCGUGAGUGAUGAAGGUUUUCGGAUCGUAAAACUCUGUUGUUAGGGAAGAACAAGUACCGUUCGAAUAGGGCGGUACCUUGACGGUACCUAACCAGAAAGCCACGGCUAACUACGUGCCAGCAGCCGCGGUAAUACGUAGGUGGCAAGCGUUGUCCGGAAUUAUUGGGCGUAAAGCGCGCGCAGGCGGUUUCUUAAGUCUGAUGUGAAAGCCCCCGGCUCAACCGGGGAGGGUCAUUGGAAACUGGGGAACUUGAGUGCAGAAGAGGAGAGUGGAAUUCCACGUGUAGCGGUGAAAUGCGUAGAGAUGUGGAGGAACACCAGUGGCGAAGGCGACUCUCUGGUCUGUAACUGACGCUGAGGCGCGAAAGCGUGGGGAGCGAACAGGAUUAGAUACCCUGGUAGUCCACGCCGUAAACGAUGAGUGCUAAGUGUUAGAGGGUUUCCGCCCUUUAGUGCUGCAGCAAACGCAUUAAGCACUCCGCCUGGGGAGUACGGUCGCAAGACUGAAACUCAAAGGAAUUGACGGGGGCCCGCACAAGCGGUGGAGCAUGUGGUUUAAUUCGAAGCAACGCGAAGAACCUUACCAGGUCUUGACAUCCUCUGACAACCCUAGAGAUAGGGCUUCCCCUUCGGGGGCAGAGUGACAGGUGGUGCAUGGUUGUCGUCAGCUCGUGUCGUGAGAUGUUGGGUUAAGUCCCGCAACGA